This 393-nucleotide ribosomal RNA is filed under the name Nasutitermes ephratae. Its description in RNAcentral is "partial 16S ribosomal RNA". Lineage: Eukaryota; Metazoa; Arthropoda; Insecta; Blattodea; Termitidae. The record is from RNAcentral.
CAUCUUUUCUUGUUAGUUUUUGAAGUAUGGCCUGCCCACUGACUUAGAGUUGAAGGGCCGCGGUAUUUUGACCGUGCAAAGGUAGCAUAAUCAUUAGUUCUUUAAUUGUGAUCUGGUAUGAAUGGCUUGACGAGACAUAAGCUGUCUUAGAGGUAUUGGUUUAUUGAAUUUGGUUUUUGAGUUAAAAUUCUUAAAUGUUUUUAUGGGACGAGAAGACCCUAUAGAGUUUGACAAUUUUCCUAUUUAUUCGUUGUUUGUUUUAUUUACAUUGAGUGGGAGUGAAUUGUUUUGUUGGGGUGAUGGGAGGAAUAUUGUUUAACUCCUCUUUGUUUUUAUAUAUUUAUGUAUAUAUUUUUGAUCCAUUUAUUUUGAUUAUAAGAUUAAAUUACCUUA